Molecule: non-coding RNA, 69 nt
Organism: Apis laboriosa (Himalayan honeybee)
Lineage: Eukaryota; Metazoa; Arthropoda; Insecta; Hymenoptera; Apidae
Source: the annotation of a RefSeq genome assembly
UGGAUAUUAGUUUAAAUUUAAAACUUUUAAAUUGCAUUUAAAAAUUAAUAUAUUAUUUAUUAUAUCUAA